GAAGUGCGAUAAGCAGUGCGAAUUGCAGAAUUCCGCGAAUCAUCAGAUUUUUGAACGCAAGUUGCGCCGAGCAGUUCGCUGUUCGGCAUGCUUGUUUCAGUGUCGUAACAAUAAUAUAUCUUAAUGUGAUUGAUGUGAUGUGUGAGAUACUAUAUAAAAUUAGAGAAUUACACAUUACAUCUCUCAUGAAAUAAGAAUGUAUAUGUACUAAUACACAAUGAAGUAGUCACAUAUAUACUUUAUGUAUGUGUUGUGAUCUCAUUGAUGUUUUAUUAGUUACUAAAUAUGCAUAGAGAAGAAAUAUAUUUUACUAUAUAUCUCUAUCUCUCUCUUAUCAAAUGUUAUCUGAAAUCAAGCAAGAUUACCCGCUGAACUUAA
This 378-nucleotide unclassified non-coding RNA is filed under the name uncultured fungus. Its description in RNAcentral is "sequence contains ITS1". The stretch from base 1 to 105 matches the Rfam family "5.8S ribosomal RNA", at positions 50 to 154 of the family's 154-position model. The record is from RNAcentral. Lineage: Eukaryota; Fungi.